This is a long non-coding RNA of Lacerta agilis (Sand lizard), 236 nucleotides long. RefSeq lists it as uncharacterized. The record is from RefSeq and is a predicted model, not a curated record. The transcript is spliced from 2 exons. Lineage: Eukaryota; Metazoa; Chordata; Lepidosauria; Squamata; Lacertidae.
GCGAACUUCACAAACCAUGGUAUGAAGUGGGCUUGUUAACCAUAGCUCAUGGAAGCCAAAGCUUUAUUAUAAAACAGGAGAUAAGUAUAUCAGCAUGCCUUGGAUGCUAGCAGAGCAGAACACAAGCAAUGAGAAGAUAAGGGAAUUUGGUCAAACACACACAAACCAUGGAACCUAACCCGAAUAGCAUCAGAUAAGGCCAGCACUGAGUUUCUAUUAAAAUGUAAUAAAUAAGA